Molecule: microRNA precursor, 105 nt
Filed under: Ixodes scapularis (black-legged tick)
Lineage: Eukaryota; Metazoa; Arthropoda; Arachnida; Ixodida; Ixodidae
Description: microRNA isc-mir-3931 precursor
Rfam family: mir-3931 microRNA precursor family (bases 15-86)
Source: miRBase by way of RNAcentral
UCGAAGACUGCACACUGGAUACGAUUUGUACCGACUCUUGGCUAGGUUUUCGAGAAACUACUUUGAGUCGGUACGAAUCCUUUCCUCUCUGCAUAAACUCCACGG